RNAcentral lists this ribosomal RNA (1432 nucleotides) under uncultured organism. RNAcentral describes it as "SSU rRNA". It matches the Rfam family "Bacterial small subunit ribosomal RNA". The record is from RNAcentral.
ACACAUGCAAGUCGAGGGGCAUCAGGAAGAAAGCUUGCUUUCUUUGCUGGCGACCGGCGCACGGGUGAGUAACACGUAUCCAACCUGCCCUUUACUCGGGGAUAGCCUUUCGAAAGAAAGAUUAAUACCCGAUAGCAUAAUGAUUCCGCAUGGUUUCAUUAUUAAAGGAUUCCGGUAAAGGAUGGGGAUGCGUUCCAUUAGGUUGUUGGUGGGGUAACGGCCCACCAAGCCUUCGAUGGAUAGGGGUUCUGAGAGGAAGGUCCCCCACAUUGGAACUGAGACACGGUCCAAACUCCUACGGGAGGCAGCAGUGAGGAAUAUUGGUCAAUGGGCGCUAGCCUGAACCAGCCAAGUAGCGUGAAGGAUGAAGGCUCUAUGGGUCGUAAACUUCUUUUAUAUAAGAAUAAAGUGCAGUAUGUAUACUGUUUUGUAUGUAUUAUAUGAAUAAGGAUCGGCUAACUCCGUGCCAGCAGCCGCGGUAAUACGGAGGAUCCGAGCGUUAUCCGGAUUUAUUGGGUUUAAAGGGAGCGUAGGUGGACUGGUAAGUCAGUUGUGAAAGUUUGCGGCUCAACCGUAAAAUUGCAGUUGAUACUGUCAGUCUUGAGUACAGUAGAGGUGGGCGGAAUUCGUGGUGUAGCGGUGAAAUGCUUAGAUAUCACGAAGAACUCCGAUUGCGAAGGCAGCUCACUGGACUGCAACUGACACUGAUGCUCGAAAGUGUGGGUAUCAAACAGGAUUAGAUACCCUGGUAGUCCACACAGUAAACGAUGAAUACUCGCUGUUUGCGAUAUACAGUAAGCGGCCAAGCGAAAGCAUUAAGUAUUCCACCUGGGGAGUACGCCGGCAACGGUGAAACUCAAAGGAAUUGACGGGGGCCCGCACAAGCGGAGGAACAUGUGGUUUAAUUCGAUGAUACGCGAGGAACCUUACCCGGGCUUAAAUUGCAGUGGAAUGAUGUGGAAACAUGUCAGUGAGCAAUCACCGCUGUGAAGGUGCUGCAUGGUUGUCGUCAGCUCGUGCCGUGAGGUGUCGGCUUAAGUGCCAUAACGAGCGCAACCCUUAUCUUUAGUUACUAACAGGUCAUGCUGAGGACUCUAGAGAGACUGCCGUCGUAAGAUGUGAGGAAGGUGGGGAUGACGUCAAAUCAGCACGGCCCUUACGUCCGGGGCUACACACGUGUUACAAUGGGGGGUACAGAAGGCAGCUAGCGGGUGACCGUAUGCUAAUCCCAAAAGCCUCUCUCAGUUCGGAUCGAAGUCUGCAACCCGACUUCGUGAAGCUGGAUUCGCUAGUAAUCGCGCAUCAGCCAUGGCGCGGUGAAUACGUUCCCGGGCCUUGUACACACCGCCCGUCAAGCCAUGAAAGCCGGGGGUACCUGAAGUACGUAACCGCAAGGAUCGUCCUAGGGUAAAACUGGUGACUGGGGCUAAAU